GCUGAAAUAGCUCAGUCUGUAGAGCACUUCACUCGUAAUGAAGGGGUCGUGAGUUCGAGUCUCAUUUUCAGCU
RNAcentral lists this transfer RNA (73 nucleotides) under Candidatus Blautia equi. Its description in RNAcentral is "tRNA-Thr". It matches the Rfam family "tRNA". From Rfam's summary of the family: Transfer RNA (tRNA) molecules are approximately 80 nucleotides in length. Their secondary structure includes four short double-helical elements and three loops (D, anti-codon, and T loops). Lineage: Bacteria; Bacillati; Bacillota; Clostridia; Lachnospirales; Lachnospiraceae. The record is from RNAcentral.